This 395-nucleotide ribosomal RNA is filed under the name uncultured bacterium. RNAcentral describes it as "bacterial SSU rRNA". It matches the Rfam family "Bacterial small subunit ribosomal RNA", at positions 29 to 408 of the family's 1533-position model. The record is from RNAcentral.
AACGAACGCUGGCGGCGUGCCUAACACAUGCAAGUCGUGCGAGAAAGUUCCUUCGGGAGCGAGUAAAGCGGCGCACGGGUGAGUAACACGUAGGUAACCUGCCCCCCAGUCUGGAACAACUAGAGGAAACUCUAGCUAAUGCCGGAUGAGACCACGAUCCCUUCGGGGGUUGCGGCCAAAGAUGGCCUCUACUUGUAAGCUAUCGCUGAGGGAUGGGCCUGCGGGCCAUUAGCUUGUUGGUGAGGUAACGGCUCACCAAGGCUGUGAUGGCUAGCUGGUCUGAGAGGAUGACCAGCCACACUGGGACUGAGACACGGCCCAGACUCCUACGGGAGGCAGCAGUGGGAAUAUUGCGCAAUGGGCGAAAGCCUGACGCAGCGACGCCGCGUGGGUGA